Molecule: ribosomal RNA, 468 nt
Filed under: uncultured bacterium
Lineage: Bacteria
Description: bacterial SSU rRNA
Rfam family: Bacterial small subunit ribosomal RNA
Source: RNAcentral
AGGACGAACGCUGGCGGCGUGCUUAACACAUGCAAGUCGAACGGAAAGGCCCAGCUUGCUGGGUACUCGAGUGGCGAACGGGUGAGUAACACGUGGGUGAUCUGCCUUGCACUCUGGGAUAAGCCUGGGAAACUGGGUCUAGUACCGGAUAUGACCUCUGACUGCAUGGUUGGGGGUGGAAAGCUUUUGCGGUGUGAGAUGGGCCCGCGGCCUAUCAGCUUGUUGGUGAGGUAAUGGCUCACCAAGGCGACGACGGGUAGCCGACCUGAGAGGGUGAUCGGCCACACUGGGACUGAGACACGGCCCAGACUCCUACGGGAGGCAGCAGUGGGGAAUAUUGCACAAUGGGCGCAAGCCUGAUGCAGCGACGCCGCGUGGGGGAUGACGGCCUUCGGGUUGUAAACUCCUUCCGCCAGGGACGAAGCGCAAGUGACGGUACCUGGAGAAGAAGCACCGGCCAACUACGUG